RNAcentral lists this ribosomal RNA (497 nucleotides) under uncultured bacterium. Its description in RNAcentral is "partial 16S ribosomal RNA". It matches the Rfam family "Bacterial small subunit ribosomal RNA", at positions 28 to 507 of the family's 1533-position model. The record is from RNAcentral.
GAUGAACGCUGGCGGCGUGCCUAAUACAUGCAAGUCGAGCGAACAGACGAGGAGCUUGCUCCUCUGACGUUAGCGGCGGACGGGUGAGUGACACGUGGAUAACCUACCUAUAAGACUGGGAUAACUUCGGGACACCGGAGCUAAUACCGGAUAAUAUAUUGAACCGCAUGGUUCAAUAGUGAAAGACGGUUUUGCUGUCACUUAUAGAUGGAUCCGCGCCGCAUUAGCUAGUUGGUAAGGUAACGGCUUACCAAGGCAACGAUGCGUAGCCGACCUGAGAGGGUGAUCGGCCACACUGGAACUGAGACACGGUCCAGACUCCUACGGGAGGCAGCAGUAGGGAAUCUUCCGCAAUGGGCGAAAGCCUGACGGAGCAACGCCGCGUGAGUGAUGAAGGUCUUCGGAUCGUAAAACUCUGUUAUUAGGGAAGAACAAAUGUGUAAGUAACUAUGCACGUCUUGACGGUACCUAAUCAGAAAGCCACGGCUAACUACGUG